This 826-nucleotide long non-coding RNA is filed under the name Theobroma cacao (cacao). RNAcentral's name for it is "long non-coding RNA (TCAC_LNC004429)". The record is from RNAcentral. Lineage: Eukaryota; Viridiplantae; Streptophyta; Magnoliopsida; Malvales; Malvaceae.
UCAUCUUUGCUUAUGCAUACUCUCUACUCGCACAUAGCCGAGUCAAUAUAAUUACACAACAAAAUAUUCAAACAUAUGUGAAUAUCAACAUAAUGCAGCAGCAUAGAGAUCCAUGAUAACCACAUGUCAUAACAUAAAAUUGAUUUAUCAAAGGCUUGUUCCCAAGGCACUUGUUUUAACAAAAGUUGUAUAAAAUCAUUCAAAUAUUUUGUACAAAAUGGUCAUAUUCCCAAAAUGAUUUUGAUAGGCAGUCCACUCAUCGGUAUAUUAUUGAGCCUUUAGCUGAUUUUAAAUCCCUUAAUAAUCCAAUUGGGGUGAUGGGGCUUCUUUAGAACCUAGAAUCACAUUAGCAUAAGCAAUAGGUCAAUUCACACACUAUAAACCCUAAAAGCUAUCUCUUAGCUAGCUUUCAAUUGUCACUUUAAAUGGCUAUCUAUGUUCACUAUCUUAAUCACUAUAAAAUGAAUGAACAUACUCAACAAUAAAACAUCUCAUAAUCCCAAUUACUAGCCAUUAUUCAUAGCUAAAAAUCAAGCUUAGUUCAUCACUUACCCUAGGGCUCUUUUGUAGUUGAAUUCUCUUCCAAUAGCUUCCACACAAAUAGGAUAAUUCUCUCUUUCUCUCUCUAGAACGCCCAACUAGUGAGAGAAAGUAUGAAAAUAAGAUUUUUCAAGGGUUUUAAGGAGAGAGAGUGGAAGAAUACAAGGGUUUUAGUCAUAAAGGCACAAAGGUAUGAAAACUAGAGCUAGAGAGAGAAAAUCAUGCAAGCUCCAUAUCAAGCUUCCAUGGAGGUUGGAAGCAACGUGAAAGAGAAGAAGAAGAAGAA